RNAcentral lists this ribosomal RNA (145 nucleotides) under uncultured eukaryote. Its description in RNAcentral is "partial 18S ribosomal RNA". It matches the Rfam family "Eukaryotic small subunit ribosomal RNA", at positions 1299 to 1458 of the family's 1831-position model. The record is from RNAcentral.
UGGUGGAGUGAUUUGUCUGGUUAAUUCCGUUAACGAACGAGACCUUGACCUGCUAACUAGUCACGGCAAGGGUUCAUUCCUUGCUGGCCGACUUCUUAGAGGGACAAUCUGUGUAUCCAGCAGAUGGAAGUUCGAGGCAAUAACA